AGCUUGUUGGUGAGGUAAUGGCUCACCAAGGCGACGACGGGUAGCCGGCCUGAGAGGGCGACCGGCCACACUGGGACUGAGACACGGCCCAGACUCCUACGGGAGGCAGCAGUGGGGAAUAUUGCACAAUGGGCGAAAGCCUGAUGCAGCGACGCCGCGUGAGGGAUGACGGCCUUCGGGUUGUAAACCUCUUUCAGCAGGGAAGAAGCGAAAGUGACGGUACCUGCAGAAGAAGCGCCGGCUAACUACGUGCCAGCAGCCGCGGUAAUACGUAGGGCGCAAGCGUUGUCCGGAAUUAUUGGGCGUAAAGAGCUCGUAGGCGGCUUGUCACGUCGGGUGUGAAAGCCCGGGGCUUAACCCCGGGUCUGCAUUCGAUACGGGCUAGCUAGAGUUCGGUAGGGGAGAUCGGAAUUCCUGGUGUAGCGGUGAAAUGCGCAGAUAUCAGGAGGAACACCGGUGGCGAAGGCGGAUCUCUGGGCCAUUACUGACGCUGAGGAGCGAAAGCGUGGGGAGCGAACAGGAUUAGAUACCCUGGUAGUCCACGCCGUAAACGGUGGGAACUAGGUGUUGGCGACAUUCCACGUUGUCCGUGCCGCAGCUAACGCAUUAAGU
RNAcentral lists this ribosomal RNA (612 nucleotides) under Streptomyces sp. EW4. RNAcentral's name for it is "bacterial SSU rRNA". It matches the Rfam family "Bacterial small subunit ribosomal RNA", at positions 243 to 865 of the family's 1533-position model. The record is from RNAcentral. Lineage: Bacteria; Bacillati; Actinomycetota; Actinomycetes; Kitasatosporales; Streptomycetaceae.